AAUAGAUACCCCGGUAGUCCACGCCGUAAACGAUGAGUGCUAAGUGUUAGAGGGUUUCCGCCCUUUAGUGCUGCAGCUAACGCAUUAAGCACUCCGCCUGGGGAGUACGGCCGCAAGGCUGAAACUCAAAGGAAUUGACGGGGGCCCGCACAAGCGGUGGAGCAUGUGGUUUAAUUCGAAGCAACGCGAAGAACCUUACCAGGUCUUGACAUCCUCUGACAACCCUAGAGAUAGGGCUUUCCCCUUCGGGGGACAGAGUGACAGGUGGUGCAUGGUUGUCGUCAGCUCGUGUCGUGAGAUGUUGGGUUAAGUCCCGCAACGAGCGCAACCCUUGAUCUUAGUUGCCAGCAUUCAGUUGGGCACUCUAAGGUGACUGCCGGUGACAAACCGGAGGAAGGUGGGGAUGACGUCAAAUCAUCAUGCCCCUUAUGAACUGGGCUACACACGUGCUACAAUGGAUGGUACAAAGGGCUGCAAACCUGCGGAGGUAAGCGAAUCCCAUAAAGCCAUUCUCAGUUCGGAUUGCAGG
Molecule: ribosomal RNA, 529 nt
Filed under: uncultured bacterium
Lineage: Bacteria
Description: bacterial SSU rRNA
Rfam family: Bacterial small subunit ribosomal RNA
Source: RNAcentral